GUAGGGGGCAAGCGUUAUCCGGAUUUACUGGGUGUAAAGGGAGCGUAGACGGAGCAGCAAGUCUGAUGUGAAAACCCGGGGCUCAACCCCGGGACUGCAUUGGAAACUGUUGAUCUGGAGUGCCGGAGAGGUAAGCGGAAUUCCUAGUGUAGCGGUGAAAUGCGUAGAUAUUANGAGGAACACCAGUGGCGAAGGCGGCUUACUGGACGGNAACUGACGUUGAGGCUCGUNNUUUUUUUGAGCAAACAGGAUUAGAUACCCUGGUAGUCCACGCCGCAAACGAUGACUACUANGUGUCGGGUGGCAAAGCCAUUCUNCGCCGCANCCAACGAAANAANUANUCCACCUGGGGAGG
Molecule: ribosomal RNA, 355 nt
Filed under: uncultured bacterium
Lineage: Bacteria
Description: partial 16S ribosomal RNA
Rfam family: Bacterial small subunit ribosomal RNA
Source: RNAcentral